AAUUUUGAGUAAAGAUAAUAAAGGAAAUUUUUUAAAAUUAUUAGGUAGAAUUUUAAUUUUUAAAAAUAACAACAUCUUUAUUUCAAAAAAAGUAUGAUAAGGACCAGGAUUAGAUACCCUGUUACUCAUAACAAAAAAUUUUUGGAAUAGUACUAUUAAUGAAAUUUAACGGAUUUGGCGGCAAGAUAGCCACUUAGAGGAACCUGCCCUGUAAACGAUGAACCACGAUUAACCUUACUUUUAUUAGAAUCCAGUUUGUAUACCGCUGUUGUCAGUUAGUUUCUUUAGAAAACUUUCGUACAUGAAAAGUUCAAGGACUUCAAGUAAAGGUGCAGCUUAUGUAAAAGAUAGAGGUGGGUUACAAUUAAAAGAAUAAUAUGGAUAAAGUAGAGAAGAAACUUUUGAAGGUGGAUUUAAUAGUAAAGUUUAAAAAGACUUGAUUAGAGCUCUAUCUUGUGUACACACCGCCCGUCGCUCUCUUUUUUAAAC
RNAcentral lists this ribosomal RNA (489 nucleotides) under Wanella milleporae. RNAcentral describes it as "partial small subunit ribosomal RNA". The stretch from base 144 to 489 matches the Rfam family "Eukaryotic small subunit ribosomal RNA", at positions 1117 to 1694 of the family's 1831-position model. The record is from RNAcentral. Lineage: Eukaryota; Metazoa; Arthropoda; Thecostraca; Balanomorpha; Balanidae.